Molecule: small RNA, 273 nt
Organism: Vagococcus teuberi
Lineage: Bacteria; Bacillati; Bacillota; Bacilli; Lactobacillales; Enterococcaceae
Rfam family: 5' ureB small RNA
Source: Rfam
CUGCAUGAGCUAAUCCUGGUGAAAUAAAAUGCACAUGGAUAUCUAAACCUCCUGCAGUAACAAUUAAACCUUCUGCAGAUAUUGCUUCAGUACUUGCACCAACAACAAAGUCAAUGUUAUCCAUGUUGUCUGGAUUUCCACCUUUACCAAUUGCGAUAAUUUUUCCAUCACGAAUACCAAUAUCUGCUUUGAUAAUUCCUGUGUAGUCUAUAAUUGUCGCAUUAGUAAUAAUAGUAUCCACUACUAGAGGAUUUGAACGGCGUGUUUCUGUCG